UUUUUUAAAACAAAAGGGAAAAUAUAUAUUAAAUAAAAAUAAAGAGAUAUAGAGCCCGGGGGCAUUAGACUUGACUCAGGUACAACUCAAUCGAGAAUACAUCGUGAUAAUACAAACCAGGAGGAUCAGCCCUAAUCAAUUCUAACAAAAUAAGCACUCAUCACGAGCACAACCCAGCAAACCCGUGUACGGGUGCAAAACUAGGUUACAAAAUAAAGAUGAAGAGUGAGAAUCUGUAAGGAUAAAAAAGGGUUCAAAACAUGGAAAUGAAUCGAUCGCCAACACGGAAACAAGAUCCAUGUACAAACAACCUCAUGAACAAAGCAACAUGCAUAGUAGCUCUUUCGAGCAUAACAGUCCAAGCAGUACCACAUGGACUGAGACAAAUAUGAAGUUGGUGCCAGAGUGGAGGUAGGCUUGAUGCCUUGAGACUUGCAGAUCUCAAUAGACCUUAAACAUCAGAGAAUUGAAGAGCAUAGGAACACAAUCAAAGAGAAUCUAACUUGAUAUUUUAUGAUGAUAUAAUAAAACAAAUCAUAUUAUAUUAUGCAUCAAAGUAAAAAUAGAAUAAAAUAAAAUCAUGUGUGGAUUAAAAUAGCCAUCAUUCAUUUCGAAGUUAAUUACAUCCAUUCACAAUUCCUCAUGAAAUUAAUUAAAAACAUCUAACUAUUAUAGUAACACAGUUCUUUUUAGAAACUAAACAGUAAGAGAAAUUUCUAUCACCUCUGAAGUAAUCAUCUGUUAAUCCAUCACUCUUCCACAACAAACAUUAAUGGCAAUAAACAUAAUUAGCAGAAUCCCACAAGCAAUAAACACCAACCAAGAAGCACUACUAAUGCAUCGUAGUUCAGAGGCUAACAUCAACAGAGUUUAUUCAAGUAACCAACAUCAAGUUUCUCACACAAACCUAAUAAACAUCAUGAAACUUAAUUACUCAAAAUUUUAAAAGUAAAAUUCUAGAGACUUGUUCCUUGAGUUAGAAGCAAGUACUUGAAUUACAAUUUACAAGUAAAUGCUAAGCUAUGAAGCAUAGAUACCGAAUGCAAUACGGACCCUAACACGCUGAUAAUAAUUUGAAAAAAUGACAUAGUUUAAUAUAAUCAUAAGUGUCGGUGGUGGACAACAACGCGUGUUCGGCACGAAGACACGCCUAAUCCGAAGAGUGUCUGUGCUUCAUAGAUGCUAAGCAAUAAUGCUCAUUUUUUCUUCUUUUAUUUAUUGCCUCCUCACACACACACACAACCAUUUAGAUCUCACUGUUUUUCCUUCCUUCCCAAGCAAAAUAUACAAUUAAAGUAGCCUUUGACACACUACCUUUCAUUUCAUUGAUGUAUAAACAUGUAUGCUGAAAAUUUAAGUUUCUAAAGAAACUUUUCACCAAACUUCAAGAAAAAAAACCUUUCAUGUUUACUUAUAUUUAUACUACUACAUGCAUCAACACACUCACUUUAAAAAUCACCCUUCUAUUUUCCACUCCUUUCUCACAAAAUAUGGUGAUGAUGAAACAUCAUAUUCUUUCUCUCCCACUUCUUGUAAUGAUUUUUUGC
RNAcentral lists this long non-coding RNA (1547 nucleotides) under Trifolium pratense (red clover). Its description in RNAcentral is "long non-coding RNA (TPRA_LNC002171)". Lineage: Eukaryota; Viridiplantae; Streptophyta; Magnoliopsida; Fabales; Fabaceae. The record is from RNAcentral.